UGGGGGAUCGUUCAACGGUAGGACAACGGGCUCUGAACCCGUGAAUCAAGGUUCGAAUCCUUGUCCCCCAGCCA
Molecule: transfer RNA, 74 nt
Filed under: Deltaproteobacteria bacterium
Lineage: Bacteria; Pseudomonadati; Myxococcota; Myxococcia
Also listed under: 1 other name
Description: tRNA-Gln
Rfam family: tRNA
About the family: Transfer RNA (tRNA) molecules are approximately 80 nucleotides in length. Their secondary structure includes four short double-helical elements and three loops (D, anti-codon, and T loops).
Source: RNAcentral